Molecule: long non-coding RNA, 437 nt
Organism: Cucurbita maxima (winter squash)
Lineage: Eukaryota; Viridiplantae; Streptophyta; Magnoliopsida; Cucurbitales; Cucurbitaceae
Exons: 2
Source: RefSeq, a predicted model, not a curated record
CUUUGUCCUGCUUUUGAUAAUCAUAGAAUCCACAAUGAUUUCAGGUAUGGAAAACUUCCCAUCUGAACAAACAAAUCUGGUUUAUGUUGGGCACUGCAGAAAGAGAAACUCGAAGGAUCAGCAGAGGGGACAAGGAUGCAGAAGAAAUGAAAGAAGAGAAGAACUGAAGUUGAUAUGUAGUUUAGGAGUGGACAGUGAAGCAGAGGGUGAAAUCUGUGGAAGACAAAUGUUAGUGGAGACUGAAGAGUGUUUGUUUCUCAACAACCGACAUGGAAGGAUUCUCAGACAACGAGGAAGAUUGUAGUAUGCAAAAUUGGCACAAAACAGGCUAUUUCAUAUGACAAUGCCAUUGCCUGCAAUGAGUAAUGGAAAGCUGUAGACAGGCAGGAAACUUUAACCCUUUGUCUUGGGCGUAGGGUGCAUUUUUGGUCACCUCA